AGAAGGGUCACGGAACCCUACAAUUUUUUGCAGAGGUGCCCGAAAUUCCUGCAACUGAAACAUCCAUAGAACAUUAGGCUACGCAUUGUCACCCAACAAAACAUUCCCAAUGACAGAUGUAAAUAGAUGGUCCAGAAGAACGAUCUCGAUUAACACCGACAAGAAACACCUAGCUACGCCCACAAAAGGAGGGUACAAAAAAGCACAUCAAACAACAGCAAGACCGUAACAUCGACAGAAGUAAAUAAAUGAACAGAAGCUGCUAGCAACAUGACCUAUUUCUUCUUCUACCCUACUAGCUCGGCGACCGACGGCAUCGUCUCCCUGGCUGGUGCCGACGUCCGCGCGCGCUGCCACCGCUCCCCGGACAUCGAGCGCAUCUGAUCUAUCCUUCACACACGGAUUCAAGAUCAAAGAAGCUCAGAAUCGUACGCCUGCAGAACACGACUGAAACAAAGAGAGUAGGAAUGAAGAAGCAACCAAUGUAUACCAGGCUAUAUAUCACCGGCCAAUGACCUGAUCAUCGACCCCGACAUGGCGACAUGCCGUAGAUAGAUGUCACGAGCACAUACAUCUCUCUCUGCCGAGCUCGGAUAGAAGAGGGGAGACCAGGAGGGGA
This 619-nucleotide long non-coding RNA is filed under the name Triticum aestivum (bread wheat). RNAcentral describes it as "long non-coding RNA (TAES_LNC024795)". Lineage: Eukaryota; Viridiplantae; Streptophyta; Magnoliopsida; Poales; Poaceae. The record is from RNAcentral.